This 455-nucleotide ribosomal RNA is filed under the name uncultured bacterium. RNAcentral's name for it is "bacterial SSU rRNA". It matches the Rfam family "Bacterial small subunit ribosomal RNA", at positions 340 to 786 of the family's 1533-position model. The record is from RNAcentral.
UACGGAAGGCAGCAGUGGGGAAUAUUGCACAAUGGGCGAAAGCCUGAUGCAGCUAUGCCGCGUGUAUGAAGAAGGCCUUAGGGUUGUAAAGUACUUUCAUCGGGGAGGAAAAAACAAAACUAAUAAUUUAUUUCUUGACGUUACCCGAAAAAGAAGCACCGGCUAACUCCGUGCCAGCAGCCGCGGUAAUACGGAGGGUGCUAGCGUUAAUCAGAAUUACUGGGCGUAAAGAGCACGUAGGUGGUUUUUUUAGGUCAGAUGUGAAAUCCCUGGGCUUAACCUAGGAACUGCAUUUUGAAACUGAAAUACUAGAGUAUCGUAGAGGGAGGUAGAAUUCUAGGUGUAGCGGUGAAAUGCGUAGAUAUCUGGAGGAAUACCUGUGGCGAAAGCGGCCUCCUAAACGAAUACUGACACUGAGGUGCGAAAGCGUGGGGAGCAAACAGGGAUUAGAUACC